This is a long non-coding RNA of Oryzias melastigma (Indian medaka), 1648 nucleotides long. RefSeq lists it as uncharacterized. The record is from RefSeq and is a predicted model, not a curated record. NCBI's taxonomy places the organism in Eukaryota, Metazoa, Chordata, Actinopteri, Beloniformes, Adrianichthyidae. The transcript has 9 exons.
GGACGACGCCCCCACCCACAUCAGACCAUGCAAACAUCUCCUAUCUCACAGUGAUGACAUCUACGGUGAACCCAAACUAUGGAGGAAGAUGAACUCCGCCAUAAAGAGGCUGCAGCACAGGUUCUUGUGGAUGGUGGUUCUGGUGCUCUGGAUCUCGCUGAAGAACCAGAAGGUGAAGAUGCACAGGAACAAACAGAUGAGAGAGAUGAUCAUCCCCAGCUGGGUGAUGCGGGUCAGGAUGGUAUGGUGGGCCACCAACUGAGAAGCAAAUGGAAAGAGAGGUGUUUCAUUCGCAGUCUGGAGCGUAGCGCGAGUAGUCGGUGACACCUGGGUCGCUGCUCGGCUUCAGGAUGUCACUGAUGCUGUCAUAUCGCACAAACACCACCGACACACUUCCUGAUGGACAAAACAAGUGAAACAAAGAGGAAGUCGAACCCACUGCAUCGGUCAUUGAACUUUUAGCAGCCAGUGUUGAAGCGGAUCGACUCAAGGCCUCUACAUACGCAAUUACUUCCACUGAGGUGGAAGCUAUUGAACUUUCUUUGUAGUAGGCUGUGAGGACCGGAAAGACCUUCUCUGCUGGCUUAAACUCAAAAAAUAAACACGCUGGAUCGUACCAACUCCUCAGAGGUGUAAUCAAUCUACUGAUGACUUUCAGCUCAGGAAAGUAGGGAUCCUCCAAAGUGGGAUGUAUGUGUGAGGGAGAAGUGGGAAAUAGCCAGCCAGGUGUGCACGUUGCUCUCCAAAAGUUAAGAGAAUGGUGGGCCCUUAGGAGUGUCGCUUCCAGCCACACAGCAAACUACCCCAUUCCCGACAAACAACAAGUGAACCAGAGAUCUCCCCCCCGUCCCAAAGCACAAGACACUUACAGCUCCAACACUGCAUGGGGAGAGCACUCCACUGCAGGAGUCAUCUCAAACUGGUCUGACUGACAAACAGAGCUGGUUCACUCUGCUGCUCCACUCAUCCUCCCGUAGCCGGCUACAUCAGAUGGGGAUGAUUGCAGUCUUGAAAUCAAUGAAACCACAAACCUCCCUGAUAAUAUUCCCCACUGGGGUGAAAAGGCAAAUGCAGUCGGGGCAGUAUUUAACCCCCCCUCAAGCCUCACACUGGAGCGGGCUUCAUUUUAGGGUCAAAAUGAGCGUUUUUAUCUAAAUUACUGGAGAUUUUCUUUUCAUUUAGAUUUUAUUGGUCAAAUUUGCUCUAAUUAUGUUGCUUUACUUUGGAUAUAAAUUAAUUGUAGUGCUGCAAUUUUUUUUUUUUUUUGCUAAAUGUCAAUAAGUAUAAACCGUGUGGUUUUGUCAGAUCCCCCCUGGAGAAACGUGCGCUCCUUUCUAACCAAUCUGACAAUAUUAAAGUCUCUGACGAGCCACUGCUGUCUCCUGUUAUUGUUCCCCGAACAAUAAAGAAACAAUAUCAGAUUAAUAUAUGGUCUGUUCUUGGUGGGGAUUUGCCCUCGUGGGGGCUGGCAACAUCUGAAGCCACCGAGCAGUAAGAAGGAUUUGGUCGACAGAGCAGAGCGUAGUCAAAGACGCUGAAGCAUUCGAGGUCACUGGUGGAUAGUAAAGUUAUCUAAAGAGCCAGUGUGCACCAAAUUCCCCUGCCAACCCGGAGCGAGUGUCAGAGAUUAGUGGUGCAUCCAUCCUCU